AGUAACGGCGAGUGAAGCGGCAACAGCUCAAAUUUGAAAUCUGGCCCUCUCAGGGUCCGAGUUGUAAUUUGGAGAGGAUGCUUCGGGUGUGGCCCCGGGCUAAGUUCCUUGGAACAGGACGUCACAGAGGGUGAGAGUCCCGUACGUGCCCGGUGGCCGCCCCCGUGUGAAGCUCCUUCGACGAGUCGAGUUGUUUGGGA
This 200-nucleotide ribosomal RNA is filed under the name Oidiodendron maius. Its description in RNAcentral is "partial small subunit ribosomal RNA". It matches the Rfam family "Eukaryotic large subunit ribosomal RNA", at positions 82 to 279 of the family's 3401-position model. The record is from RNAcentral. Lineage: Eukaryota; Fungi; Ascomycota; Leotiomycetes; Myxotrichaceae.